This 1449-nucleotide ribosomal RNA is filed under the name uncultured organism. RNAcentral describes it as "16S ribosomal RNA". It matches the Rfam family "Bacterial small subunit ribosomal RNA". The record is from RNAcentral.
GACGAACGCUGGUGGCGUGCUUAACACAUGCAAGUCGAACGGAAAGGCCCUGCUUUUGUGGGGUGCUCGAGUGGCGAACGGGUGAGCAACACGUGAGUAACCUGCCCCUGACUUUGGGAUAACUUCAGGAAACUGGGGCUAAUACCGGAUAGGAGCUCCUGCUGCAUGGUGGGGGUUGGAAAGUUUCGGCGGUUGGGGAUGGACUCGCGGCUUAUCAGCUUGUUGGUGGGGUAGUGGCUUACCAAGGCUUUGACGGGUAGCCGGCCUGAGAGGGUGACCGGCCACAUUGGGACUGAGAUACGGCCCAGACUCCUACGGGAGGCAGCAGUGGGGAAUAUUGCACAAUGGGCGGAAGCCUGAUGCAGCAACGCCGCGUGCGGGAUGACGGCCUUCGGGUUGUAAACCGCUUUCGCCUGUGACGAAGCGUGAGUGACGGUAAUGGGUAAAGAAGCACCGGCUAACUACGUGCCAGCAGCCGCGGUGAUACGUAGGGUGCGAGCGUUGUCCGGAUUUAUUGGGCGUAAAGGGCUCGUAGGUGGUUGAUCGCGUCGGAAGUGUAAUCUUGGGGCUUAACCCUGAGCGUGCUUUCGAUACGGGUUGACUUGAGGAAGGUAGGGGAGAAUGGAAUUCCUGGUGGAGCGGUGGAAUGCGCAGAUAUCAGGAGGAACACCAGUGGCGAAGGCGGUUCUCUGGGCCUUUCCUGACGCUGAGGAGCGAAAGCGUGGGGAGCGAACAGGCUUAGAUACCCUGGUAGUCCACGCUGUAAACGGUGGGUACUAGGUGUGGGGUCCAUUCCACGGGUUCCGUGCCGUAGCUAACGCUUUAAGUACCCCGCCUGGGGAGUACGGCCGCAAGGCUAAAACUCAAAGGAAUUGACGGGGCCCCGCACAAGCGGCGGAGCAUGCGGAUUAAUUCGAUGCAACGCGUAGAACCUUACCUGGGUUUGACAUGGAUCGGGAGUGCUCAGAGAUGGGUGUGCCUCUUUUGGGGUCGGUUCACAGGUGGUGCAUGGCUGUCGUCAGCUCGUGUCGUGAGAUGUUGGGUUAAGCCCCGCAACGAGCGCAACCCUUGUUCACUGUUGCCAGCACGUUAUGGUGGGGACUCAGUGGAGACCGCCGGGGUCAACUCGGAGGAAGGUGGGGAUGACGUCAAGUCAUCAUGCCCCUUAUGUCCAGGGCUUCACGCAUGCUACAAUGGCUGGUACAGAGAGUGGCGAGCCUGUGAGGGUGAGCGAAUCUCGGAAAGCCGGUCUCAGUUCGGAUUGGGGUCUGCAACUCGACCUCAUGAAGUCGGAGUCGCUAGUAAUCGCAGAUCAGCAACGCUGCGGUGAAUACGUUCCCGGGGCUUGUACACACCGCCCGUCAAGUCAUGAAAGUUGGUAACACCCGAAGCCGGUGGCCUAACCGUUGUGGGGGAGCCGUCGAAGGUGGGACUGGUGAUUAGGACUAA